Non-coding RNA from Paramuricea clavata, 273 nucleotides. The record is from the annotation of a GenBank genome assembly. NCBI's taxonomy places the organism in Eukaryota, Metazoa, Cnidaria, Anthozoa, Malacalcyonacea, Plexauridae.
UUUGAAAUUAUCAACUGAAUAAAUCACAAAACCACAAGCAUUAGACAAGAGUUUUUGUUAUAAAUGUAAUGGCUCUAAAAGGGAGGCUGGUAGCGCAGGUGUGGUGAGAUCUUCAAAGAAAGUUAAAAAAAAAUAAAAGAAAGUUAACAAAAGUAAAAAAAGUUAAAAAAAGCCAGAUUUUAGAAAAAAGUUUAAAAAAGUUGGAUUAGGGUUAGGGGUUAGGUUUGGGGUUUAGGGUAUAGGGUUGGAGUUAGGGGUUACAUAGUGAUAUGG